AUGGGGCACUGCACAAAGCACUCACCUCCUGCUGUGGCACUGCACCGCUCCUCCUUCGGCUCCGGCUGCAGAGAGAGGGAUGGACAUGGCCAUGUGCUGCUGCUGUCCCAGCGCACUCUGCAUGUCGCACCUGCCCUCCUCCCCUCCUUUCUCAAGACCAUGUCUGGCCCCAGCGGGCUGCUCGAGUGUUGGAGUGGGCAGGGAACGCCCAGGGAAACCCCCCAGUGCCUUGGGAGAGGGGGCUGCAGCACAGUGGUGCCACACCAGCAGCCACAGCUGUGCUCACCUGGGGCCUUUUUGGCACCUCUGGCUGCGGCACCAUCCUCUCAAAGCCCUGCACCAGCCAGCUCAGCACGCGUGCUCCUGCCCUGCAGGGAGAGCAGGUGUGGUUGGAGUUCACCUGGAAUCCUGCAUCCCAUGUCCUGCAUCCCUUCAUCCCACACCUCACAUCCCACGUCUCACAUCCUGCAUCCCUCUAUCCCACAUCCCUCAUCCCUCCAACCCAUAUCCCGCAUCCCUCUAAUCCCAUGUGUGUCUAUCCCACAUCAUGUCAGACAAUCCCAAAUCCUGCAUCCCACAUCCAUGCCUACCUCAAAUCCUGCAUCCUACGACUCACGUCCCUCAUCCCACAAUCCCUUAUCCCAAAUCUCUCAUCCCACAAUCCUUUAUCCCACAUCCUUCAUCCCUCAUCUCACAACACUCCAUCCUAAAUCCAACAUCCCACAUUCCACCUCCUUCCAUCCCAUAUCCUACAUCACAAAUAACGCAUCCUACAUCCCCAUAUCCCACAUCUCUCCAUGCCAUGUCUGUCCAUCCUACAUCUCACACCUCACAUCUCUCUAUCCCAUAACCUGCAUCCCACAUCCCCUGUCUGCCCAUCCCAUAUCCCACAUCCCUCCACCAUAUGCCACCCCUCUGCCUGCUCAUAGGAUGCUGCAUACAGGGAACCCACCAUUCCUCCGUGCCCGUGCCCAAGUCGUCCUCCAGCUCGCAGCCAUCCAGCUCAUCCUCCUCAGGGUCAAAGGGUUUUAUCUCUGCAGGGAGAGCAGGAUCAGGUGUGCAGGGGCUGGCAACCAGAAGGGAACCUCAAACCGUGGGCUCAUUAUUCCCCUUACCCAGAGCAUCCUCAUCCUCAUCCUUGAGGACCUGCACCUCUGUCUGGAAAAGCAGAAAGUAUUACCUGGUGGGGCAAGGGGAGAAAUCUGCCCUUUGCCUAGAGUUGGGUGA
Molecule: long non-coding RNA, 1227 nt
Filed under: Coturnix japonica (Japanese quail)
Lineage: Eukaryota; Metazoa; Chordata; Aves; Galliformes; Phasianidae
Description: lncRNA (ENSCJPG00005012202.1)
Source: RNAcentral